UGGGUAACCUGCCCAAGAGACUGGGAUAACACCUGGAAACAGAUGCUAAUACCGGAUAACAACACUAGACGCAUGUCUAGAGUUUAAAAGAUGGUUCUGCUAUCACUCUUGGAUGGACCUGCGGUGCAUUAGCUAGUUGGUAAGGUAACGGCUUACCAAGGCAAUGAUGCAUAGCCGAGUUGAGAGACUGAUCGGCCACAUUGGGACUGAGACACGGCCCAAACUCCUACGGGAGGCAGCAG
Molecule: ribosomal RNA, 242 nt
Filed under: uncultured bacterium
Lineage: Bacteria
Description: partial 16S ribosomal RNA
Rfam family: Bacterial small subunit ribosomal RNA
Source: RNAcentral